This 589-nucleotide ribosomal RNA is filed under the name uncultured Aquabacterium sp. RNAcentral describes it as "bacterial SSU rRNA". It matches the Rfam family "Bacterial small subunit ribosomal RNA", at positions 334 to 916 of the family's 1533-position model. Lineage: Bacteria; Pseudomonadati; Pseudomonadota; Betaproteobacteria; Burkholderiales; Sphaerotilaceae. The record is from RNAcentral.
UACUCCUACGGGAGGCAGCAGUGGGGGAUUUUGGACAAUGGGCGCAAGCCUGAUCCAGCCAUGCCGCGUGCGGGAAGAAGGCCUUCGGGUUGUAAACCGCUUUUGUCAGGGAAGAAAUCCUUUGGGUUAAUACCUCGGAGGGAUGACGGUACCUGAAGAAUAAGCACCGGCUAACUACGUGCCAGCAGCCGCGGUAAUACGUAGGGUGCGAGCGUUAAUCGGAAUUACUGGGCGUAAAGCGUGCGCAGGCGGUCUUGCAAGACAGGUGUGAAAUCCCCGGGCUUAACCUGGGAACUGCACUUGUGACUGCAAGGCUGGAGUACGGCAGAGGGGGAUGGAAUUCCGCGUGUAGCAGUGAAAUGCGUAGAUAUGCGGAGGAACACCGAUGGCGAAGGCAAUCCCCUGGGCCUGUACUGACGCUCAUGCACGAAAGCGUGGGGAGCAAACAGGAUUAGAUACCCUGGUAGUCCACGCCCUAAACGAUGUCAACUGGUUGUUGGACGGCUUGCUGUUCAGUAACGAAGCUAACGCGUGAAGUUGACCGCCUGGGGAGUACGGCCGCAAGGUUGAAACUCAAAUGAAUUGACGG